RNAcentral lists this ribosomal RNA (482 nucleotides) under uncultured organism. Its description in RNAcentral is "bacterial SSU rRNA". It matches the Rfam family "Bacterial small subunit ribosomal RNA", at positions 28 to 507 of the family's 1533-position model. The record is from RNAcentral.
GAUGAACGCUAGCGGCAGGCCUAAUACAUGCAAGUCGAACGGGCUUAUGUUUUUCGGAAUAUGAGUUAGUGGCGCACGGGUGAGUAACACGUACAUAACCUACCUUCAAGAGGGGGAUAGCCUUGGGAAACUGAGAGUAAUACCCCAUAGUAUCAAGUUGCGGCAUCGUGAGUUGAUUAAAGCUGAGGUGCUUGAAGAUGGAUGUGCGUCUGAUUAGCUAGUUGGUGAGGUAACGGCUCACCAAGGCGACGAUCAGUAGGGGGCGUGAGAGCGUGGCCCCCCACACGGGUACUGAGACACGGACCCGACUCCUACGGGAGGCAGCAGUAAGGAAUAUUGGUCAAUGGAGGGAACUCUGAACCAGCCAUGCCGCGUGAAGGAUGACGGCCCUCUGGGUUGUAAACUUCUUUUGGAUGGGGCGAAAAAACGGGAUUUAUCCUGGACUGACGGUACCAUCAGAAUAAGCACCGGCUAACUCCGUG